CCUGGAGACUCCGAGGCAGCAGUGGGGAAUAUUGCACAAUGGGCGCAAGCCUGAUGCAGCGACGCCGCGUGAGGGAUGACGGCCUUCGGGUUGUAAACCUCUGUUAGCAGGGAAGAAGAGAAAUUGACGGUACCUGCAGAGAAAGCGCCGGCUAACUACGUGCCAGCAGCCGCGGUAAUACGUAGGGCGCGAGCGUUGUCCGGAAUUAUUGGGCGUAAAGAGCUUGUAGGCGGUUUGUCGCGUCUGCUGUGAAAGGCCGGGGCUUAACCCCGUGUAUUGCAGUGGGUACGGGCAGACUAGAGUGCAGUAGGGGAGACUGGAACUCCUGGUGUAGCGGUGGAAUGCGCAGAUAUCAGGAAGAACACCGAUGGCGAAGGCAGGUCUCUGGGCUGUAACUGACGCUGAGAAGCGAAAGCAUGGGGAGCGAACAGGAUUAGAUACCCCUGUAGUCCGA
Molecule: ribosomal RNA, 454 nt
Filed under: uncultured bacterium
Lineage: Bacteria
Description: bacterial SSU rRNA
Rfam family: Bacterial small subunit ribosomal RNA
Source: RNAcentral